Otolemur garnettii (small-eared galago) is the source of this 109-nucleotide small nuclear RNA. The record is from Ensembl. Lineage: Eukaryota; Metazoa; Chordata; Mammalia; Primates; Galagidae.
AGACAUAGUGAGACUUUGUCUCAAAAAAAAAAUUGGAAUGAUAAAGAGAAGAUUAGCAUGGACCCUGUGCAAGGAUGACAUGCAAUUUCAUGAAUCAUUCCAUGUUUUU